RNAcentral lists this ribosomal RNA (471 nucleotides) under uncultured bacterium. RNAcentral describes it as "bacterial SSU rRNA". It matches the Rfam family "Bacterial small subunit ribosomal RNA", at positions 355 to 825 of the family's 1533-position model. The record is from RNAcentral.
UGGGGAAUUUUGGACAAUGGGGGCAACCCUGAUCCAGCAAUGCCGCGUGAGUGAAGAAGGCCUUCGGGUUGUAAAGCUCUUUUGUCAGGGAAGAAACGGUAGUAGCGAAUAACUAUUACUAAUGACGGUACCUGAAGAAUAAGCACCGGCUAACUACGUGCCAGCAGCCGCGGUAAUACGUAGGGUGCAAGCGUUAAUCGGAAUUACUGGGCGUAAAGCGUGCGCAGGCGGUUGUGUAAGUCAGAUGUGAAAUCCCCGGGCUCAACCUGGGAAUUGCAUUUGAGACUGCACGGCUAGAGUGUGUCAGAGGGGGGUAGAAUUCCACGUGUAGCAGUGAAAUGCGUAGAUAUGUGGAGGAAUACCGAUGGCGAAGGCAGCCCCCUGGGAUAACACUGACGCUCAUGCACGAAAGCGUGGGGAGCAAACAGGAUUAGAUACCCUCGUAGCCCUGAGCGGGCUGGCAAGGCGCAU